GAGUUUGAUCGUGGCUCAGAUUGAACGCUGGCGGCAUGCCUUACACAUGCAAGUCGAACGGCAGCAUGAUCUAGCUUACUAGAUUGAUGGCGAGUGGCGAACGGGUGAGUAAUACAUCGGAACGUGCCCUGUAGUGGGGGAUAACUAGUCGAAAGAUUAGCUAAUACCGCAUACGACCUGAGGGUGAAAGUGGGGGACCGCAAGGCCUCAUGCUAUAGGAGCGGCCGAUGUCUGAUUAGCUAGUUGGUGGGUAAAGGCCCACCAAGGCGACGAUCAGUAGCUGGUCUGAGAGGACGAUCAGCCACACUGGGACUGAGACACGGCCCAGACUCCUACGGGAGGCAGCAGUGGGGAAUUUUGGACAAUGGGCGAAAGCCUGAUCCAGCAAUGCCGCGUGUGUGAAGAAGGCCUCGGUUGUAA
Molecule: ribosomal RNA, 420 nt
Filed under: uncultured microorganism
Description: bacterial SSU rRNA
Rfam family: Bacterial small subunit ribosomal RNA
Source: RNAcentral